GACACGAGGAAUAAAGCUGUAGACCUUCACAAGGUUUUUGUACCCAAUAUUAAGCUCUAUUUUUCUAUUGUAUCAAAUACUUAUGCAAUGAAUUAUUUGAAAUUCAUACAAAGAGAUUUUGUGUCAAGUAGUACAAAGUAGUUGCAGUGUAUCUUUCUGCAGUUAAUUUACCUCAGGUUUUCUCACAGCUAUGAGUGGAUUUACGAGAUUUGGAGGAAAACGGAAUAACUGAAGUCAUUGAAAUGGUCAAAAGUGCUCUGUAUUGUCUUUCUGGUGAUCAUUUGGGUUCACACAGCAUUGCGCCCCCCUGAAAGUUACGAUUUUGCUGUUUGUGAUCCACAAACUGAAGACAGUCAAGGCAGCAAAGGAAUAAAGAAAAGACUGACUGGGAGAGAACAUUUCUCCGCUCUGCCAUCACUGAGGUCUUGCCUGACCUUCCAGAGGUGACAAAGGAUAUUUUAGAAGAGACUUUGCAUUCUCUAGGCAUGGAGACCUAUGAUGAUUUGUAGUUUAUAGAGCCAGAUGAUUUGCUGUCAGCGUUGAGGCCUGUUCAAGCCCCAAAAGUCAUUGCUGCUUGGACACUGAGAUGCCAGAUUCAUCUGUUGGUUCCUCACCAGGACUUCACACAACCUUGCAGUCUUUUUCACCCAGUAGUUCACAAUCAUUCUCUUCCAGAGGCUCCCACAGCCCUGUUAUU
Molecule: long non-coding RNA, 697 nt
Organism: Silurus meridionalis
Lineage: Eukaryota; Metazoa; Chordata; Actinopteri; Siluriformes; Siluridae
Exons: 4
Source: RefSeq, a predicted model, not a curated record